This 1446-nucleotide ribosomal RNA is filed under the name Staphylococcus aureus HBHO6021. RNAcentral's name for it is "bacterial SSU rRNA". It matches the Rfam family "Bacterial small subunit ribosomal RNA". The record is from RNAcentral. Lineage: Bacteria; Bacillati; Bacillota; Bacilli; Caryophanales; Staphylococcaceae.
AGAGUUUGAUCCUGGCUCAGGAUGAACGCUGGCGGCGUGCCUAAUACAUGCAAGUCGAGCGAACGGACGAGAAGCUUGCUUCUCUGAUGUUAGCGGCGGACGGGUGAGUAACACGUGGAUAACCUACCUAUAAGACUGGGAUAACUUCGGGAAACCGGAGCUAAUACCGGAUGAUAUUUUGAACCGCAUGGUUCAAAAGUGAAAGACGGUCUUGCUGUCACUUAUAGAUGGAUCCGCGCUGCAUUAGCUAGUUGGUAAGGUAACGGCUUACCAAGGCAACGAUGCAUAGCCGACCUGAGAGGGUGAUCGGCCACACUGGAACUGAGACACGGUCCAGACUCCUACGGGAGGCAGCAGUAGGGAAUCUUCCGCAAUGGGCGAAAGCCUGACGGAGCAACGCCGCGUGAGUGAUGAAGGUCUUCGGAUCGUAAAACUCUGUUAUUAGGGAAGAACAUAUGUGUAAGUAACUGUGCACAUCUUGACGGUACCUAAUCAGAAAGCCACGGCUAACUACGUGCCAGCAGCCGCGGUAAUACGUAGGUGGCAAGCGUUAUCCGGAAUUAUUGGGCGUAAAGCGCGCGUAGGCGGUUUUUUAAGUCUGAUGUGAAAGCCCACGGCUCAACCGUGGAGGGUCAUUGGAAACUGGAAAACUUGAGUGCAGAAGAGGAAAGUGGAAUUCCAUGUGUAGCGGUGAAAUGCGCAGAGAUAUGGAGGAACACCAGUGGCGAAGGCGACUUUCUGGUCUGUAACUGACGCUGAUGUGCGAAAGCGUGGGGAUCAAACAGGAUUAGAUACCCUGGUAGUCCACGCCGUAAACGAUGAGUGCUAAGUGUUAGGGGGUUUCCGCCCCUUAGUGCUGCAGCUAACGCAUUAAGCACUCCGCCUGGGGAGUACGACCGCAAGGUUGAAACUCAAAGGAAUUGACGGGGACCCGCACAAGCGGUGGAGCAUGUGGUUUAAUUCGAAGCAACGCGAAGAACCUUACCAAAUCUUGACAUCCUUUGACAACUCUAGAGAUAGAGCCUUCCCCUUCGGGGGACAAAGUGACAGGUGGUGCAUGGUUGUCGUCAGCUCGUGUCGUGAGAUGUUGGGUUAAGUCCCGCAACGAGCGCAACCCUUAAGCUUAGUUGCCAUCAUUAAGUUGGGCACUCUAAGUUGACUGCCGGUGACAAACCGGAGGAAGGUGGGGAUGACGUCAAAUCAUCAUGCCCCUUAUGAUUUGGGCUACACACGUGCUACAAUGGACAAUACAAAGGGCAGCGAAACCGCGAGGUCAAGCAAAUCCCAUAAAGUUGUUCUCAGUUCGGAUUGUAGUCUGCAACUCGACUACAUGAAGCUGGAAUCGCUAGUAAUCGUAGAUCAGCAUGCUACGGUGAAUACGUUCCCGGGUCUUGUACACACCGCCCGUCACACCACGAGAGUUUGUAACACCCGAAGCCGGUGGAG